CAGUGUGCCGCUAGAUGGUGUUUGUAUUGUUUUUAAUAUGGCGAAAUGUAUAAAGAGUUUUGUCAUCUUCUGUUUUCGAAUUUUCAUGUUUUACUGCCCAAAAUCAACCAAUUAUUUACAUAAAAUGUACCUGCCGUCUAGUCAUCAGAUUAAAUUUGGACUCCAUUUUAAAAACCAGUUGCUCAACCCUUCUGUGACUCACACACUCAGCUUCAUCUGCAUCAUCCUCUCACAUCUUAGACAAAACCGCAAGCUGUUAUGCCCAAAAGUUGUGGCAUUGCAUAUACGGUUACAGGUUCCUUCUUGCCUGAAAGAUGUUGACACCUUUGAACACUUUUGGUGGGGUUGUUGCGUCAUGAAAUUGUAUUGUUGCCAUUCCCUGCAUCUCCCACUUCAAAGCUACAAGAAAUGAGUAAUAGGAAGCCUACAACAGUUUGAGGAAUUCAUAGGUUGUGUGGUAUGCCAUUGGAUCCAUCGGAUUUCGCGAGUCAGCCGCCGAUGUCAAUCUACAACGCAGUUUCUUUAUUGGAAUUGUGUGGUCUUGGCACAGAGAUCCUUGAUGCUGGCCUUUGUCCAUUACAGAAGAGUGACUUCUACCAACUCUCCAUCCUUAUCUUCGCUACCCACACUCAUCUAGCUUCUCUGCUUAAUUAUUAUGCUGCCAAACAAUUUGUCGUACUUAACUGACGAGUUAGACCAGUCGCUUCCGUCCGCCUGUCACUCUCCACGGAAUCAUGCCCAGAUGAGACGUCGAGAAGAUGGAAUUCCGAGACUCGUCAUCAACGUGGAUCAUCGCGACCGGCACCGAGACUCAGACUCGUCAUAAACGUGGAUCAUCGUAUUGUUGGUAUUAUUUCGUUAUGUGUUAGUUAACCCGUUGGCUGCCACGCCUUUGUUCUCCCCUAGCUCCUUAGCACG
This 918-nucleotide long non-coding RNA is filed under the name Daphnia pulicaria. RNAcentral's name for it is "uncharacterized LOC124313625, transcript variant X2". Lineage: Eukaryota; Metazoa; Arthropoda; Branchiopoda; Diplostraca; Daphniidae. The record is from RNAcentral.